This 562-nucleotide ribosomal RNA is filed under the name uncultured bacterium. Its description in RNAcentral is "partial 16S ribosomal RNA". It matches the Rfam family "Bacterial small subunit ribosomal RNA", at positions 355 to 1375 of the family's 1533-position model. The record is from RNAcentral.
UGGGGAAUAUUGCACAAUGGGCGAAAGCCUGAUGCAGCAACGCCGCGUGAGUGAUGAAGGCCUUCGGGUUGUAAAGCUCUGUCUUUUGGGACGAUAAUGACGGUACCAAAGGAGGAAGCCACGGCUAACUACGCGCCAGCAGCCGCGGUAAUACGUAGGUGGCAAGCGUUGUCCGGAUUUACUGGGCGUAAAGGAUGCGUAGGCGGAUUUUUAAGUGAGAUGUGAAAACCCUAAGCUUAACUUGGGGACUGCAUUUCAUACUGGAAAUCUAGAGUGCGGGAGAGGAGAAUGGAAUUCCUAGUGUAGCGGUGAAAUGCGUAGAGAUUAGGAAGAACACCAGUGGCGAAGGCGAUUCUCUGGACCGUAACUGACGCUGAGGCAUGAAAGCGUGGGUAGCAAACAGGAUUAGAUACCCUGGUAGUCCACGCCGUAAACGAUGAGUACUAGGUGUAGGAGGUAUCGGCCCCUUCUGUGCCGCAGUUAACACAAUAAGUACUCCGCCUGGGAAGUACGAUCGCAAGAUUAAAACUCAAAUGAAUUGACGGGGUCAUAGCUGUUUCCU